UAGAAGGAGUUAGAAAAAUUAAUCAUUAACUUUCGUAAUAAAUUACGCCUCUCGCGCCUUGCCUUUCUAAAGUUUGCCAAACUUAGAUUUUCUAGGUCCCAACGACCUAAUGCUAAGCUCUGAUACGAACUUAAUCUGUCACGCCCCGGAUUACACGUUCCCCGGGCACGCCGACAAAUUCGCCGUAUACAAAAAAAUUUUUCCUAUAUACGAAGGGAUAGCUGUACCUGUAAACAUUACAAUACUACAAACAGUAGUAUAGGGCUGCUAGAAGAACCAGUAACAAAAACAAACCAAGUUUCAUAUACAUACGCCAAAUCUCAGAUACAAAACUACUCGCACUGGCGAGUUACACAUCUGUAUGUACAUGAACUCCAACAAAACAACUACCUGCUGUAG
This 399-nucleotide long non-coding RNA is filed under the name Ananas comosus (pineapple). Its description in RNAcentral is "long non-coding RNA (ACOM_LNC025826)". The record is from RNAcentral. Lineage: Eukaryota; Viridiplantae; Streptophyta; Magnoliopsida; Poales; Bromeliaceae.